AGAGUUUGAUCAUGGCUCAGAUUGAACGCUGGCGGCAGGCCUAACACAUGCAAGUCGAACGGUAACAGGAAGAAGCUUGCUUCUUGCUGACGAGUGGCGGACGGGUGAGUAAUGUCUGGGAAACUGCCUGAUGGAGGGGGAUAACUACUGGAAACGUAGCUAAUACCGCAUAACGUCGCAAGACCAAAAAGGGGGACCUUCGGGCCUCUUGCCAUCGGAUGUGCCCAGAUGGGAUUAGCUAGUAGGUGGGGUAACGGCUCACCUAGGCGACGAUCCCUAGCUGGUCUUAGAGGAUGACCAGCCACACUGGAACUGAGACACGGUCCAGACUCCUACGGGAGGCAGCAGUGGGGAAUAUUGCACAAUGGGCGCAAGCCUGAUGCAGCCAUGCCGCGUGUAUGAAGAAGGCCUUCGGGUUGUAAAGUACUUUCAGCGGGGAGGAAGGGAGUAAAGUUAAUACCUUUGCUCAUUGACGUUACCCGCAGAAGAAGCACCGGCUAACUCCGUG
RNAcentral lists this ribosomal RNA (508 nucleotides) under uncultured bacterium. RNAcentral's name for it is "bacterial SSU rRNA". It matches the Rfam family "Bacterial small subunit ribosomal RNA", at positions 8 to 507 of the family's 1533-position model. The record is from RNAcentral.